RNAcentral lists this long non-coding RNA (956 nucleotides) under Marmota monax (woodchuck). Lineage: Eukaryota; Metazoa; Chordata; Mammalia; Rodentia; Sciuridae. The record is from RNAcentral.
UCUAGUGCCUGUCCUGCUCCAAGGCUCCUCUGAGCACCGCUCCCUGCAGCCAGCCUGCUCUGGGAUGCUGAUUCCCUUCCUGGGCAGGUUCACACCAAGGCCAGGUCUCCCUGGAUCAGCUGAAGCCCCUUUCCCAGGUGCCCACACCUUGUGGGACAUUCUGUGCAGAGUGAGGAUAACUGUCCUCUGCUCCGACAUUACAACAAAAUGAGCUACCCGUGGACUUGGAAGCCUGGCUCUGGACCCCAGAGCCUCAGUUCAUCUUAAGCGGUGUUCCUUCAUCUUUUUCCCCUGCUGUGUGGCUCCUGGUAGAAAGGCUUCAGCCAAAAAUAAAGCUGAACUUGAGGUGCAGUUUGGGUAGAUGUUAAGAACAGACCUUGGGGUUGAAUCUUAUACCCACCCAUUGCCAUUAGGAGCUCUGUGACCUAGUCCUCAUUUUCUUUUUCCACAACUGAAGGUUUGGAAGAGGACCCGGCUCCUAUCCACUGGCUUGUGAAGAUGAAACAAAAACAAGAAGCUGAACUAACUCUACCAUAAAAACCCCAGAAACAUCGGGUGGGUUGCUAGAAUCAUUCCCUUAACAGUAUUUAAAUUCUUGAACUUAUGAAUUUAAAAAAAACUGAAAUUAUCUCCCAAUUUAAAUCCAUGUUAAUUGUAUAGAAUUUGGGAAUACAGGAAAGAAAAUUAAAAUUCCUCUUAAUUUUAUCAUCGGAUAAGGGAUACUGUUUUCCUAUUCUGCUUUUUUCUAUAAAUGCAUUUCCCCAUUUUACAGAUGAGUUCAUUGUCCCAGGCUGGCCUGAUGCCAGAGUCUUCACCCCAGGCUGGAUCUUUCUAGAUAGGCCUGUGCUCACCCAUGGCAGCCUUUGGGGGAGUGUGAUCUUACUUCUUAAAACCAAUAUGUAAGUAGAAACUAGAGGACCUUUGAGAAGUAGUAGAGAAAGUGCUGCACAGUUCCC